UCCCACUUUUCACAGACCCAGGCAGCAGACCAGCUCCAGGAUGUUUACCUGGUGAUUUAGUGUGAUUGGAAAAAUGUAAAACAAGUUGCGCUCCCCAAUUGCUGUCUGUACGAUAAUACCUGUCUCCCAGCCUUUGACGACACGUCUACAGCAUGAUUAUUGAACUUCUUUUCACAAUAUCUAGUGACAAAUGCAUUUGAUUGAGAUAGAAGCAACUGGAGACUUUGCAGCAAAGGAUACUGCUGAGCAAUACAGAUGUUAGUUGUCUGCACUUCAAGCAGGAAGAAAGCUUGACACCAUGAUAAUCCUCAAGAUCUUACACUGUCACUCAAAUCUUGCUGUGGAAUAAAGGCUAUACGAUUUCUUUUGAUGAUCUUUGAGAGACAAGCUGCAUCCUAGAUCUCAGCUAAAGUGGAGCCUCAAUUUCUCAAGGAAAGAGAUGGAAAUAACCUCACUGAAAUAGAUUUUUCAGGGCUCAGAGUCAAGCUGGAUCCUCUCCAUCUUGUGAAUUUGCUCCUCAGUAGCAGGUGUGCAACUCUCCCAAUUAUGCUCUCCAAUGACAGAGGUAACUGAUUGGAAUUUUGCAAACAACUCCUUUGAUGUACAAGAAAGAACAAAAAUGCAGGUACUGCUCAUGUACAUACAGCUAAGCACAUGCAUAAGUUUUGCAGCAAUGGGAUAACUGGAAGUCUUGAACUGAGUCUUGCCUCAACCAUCCUUGGUCUCAGGAACUAAAAAGUGGGUUGAGACAGGAACCUACAAAUUGCAGAAUAGAAAACUGGAUGAAAAAACUUUAACUAAAAAUCUAAAUAAAAGCAACAUGUAAGCUCUGAAAUGUAGUCCAUUUUUAUUUAGGCGCUUUGAUAUGUAUGUAAAAGCAUAACA
Long non-coding RNA from Chelonia mydas (Green sea turtle), 885 nucleotides. RefSeq lists it as uncharacterized. The transcript is spliced from 5 exons. NCBI's taxonomy places the organism in Eukaryota, Metazoa, Chordata, Testudines, Cheloniidae. The record is from RefSeq and is a predicted model, not a curated record.